CCCAUCUAACAUUUAAGUACAAUUUGACCAGUUAGUUCUGCUUUUGGGUCAUUUAUCGGCAUCGUAACUUAAAAUCUGUCAAUACUAAAAGUUUUGACAGGAUCAUGCUGGGAUGUCGAUAUUAAUUCACGCCCCAUUAGUGAUCCAUUAUCAUCAUGUUGAUGAUCAUCUUCUUUCUCUUUCUCACUCUCUAAUUCUUUCUCUUUCUCACUU
RNAcentral lists this long non-coding RNA (213 nucleotides) under Capsicum annuum. RNAcentral's name for it is "long non-coding RNA (CANN_LNC020911)". The record is from RNAcentral. Lineage: Eukaryota; Viridiplantae; Streptophyta; Magnoliopsida; Solanales; Solanaceae.